Molecule: long non-coding RNA, 2766 nt
Filed under: Octopus vulgaris (common octopus)
Lineage: Eukaryota; Metazoa; Mollusca; Cephalopoda; Octopoda; Octopodidae
Source: RNAcentral
CUCGGAUAUAUCUAGUUAACAUUUUUGGGGCUUUAUUACAAUACACCAUUCAUCAGACUGGUCUACUUUAACGACUCCUUUACCGUUCUUCGUUAUCUCCUUUCUCUCUGUUAAUACCAGUUAUUACUUGGUACAAUUUCGGUAGCAGAACAGACGUGAAUUCAAUUGAUAAAGCGAAAUAAAAUGGAGGAUAAGAACUUAAUGUGUAUGCAUGGCUGUAUAAAUAUAUAUGAGGGCGUGCGUAUGCAUGUAUGCAUAUUUAUACACACAAAUAUAUACAUAUAUACAGACACAUAUAUAUGCAUACAUAUAUAAAACUAUAUAUAUAUAUACACUUGUAUAUAUAUACUUAUAUAUAUGUGUGUGUGUGUCUGUGUAUGUUUAUUAAUUGGCUGUAACGACAAAAAGCGACUCGCGGGCCCAAAGCUUCGUGCACAGGACUUGUCAAAGAGCCAUUCAUCGAAUAUUGAGUACGUGAAUCAUUUUACAAUCGAUAAAAUUCGUAUGUGUCUGUGUAUAUAUAUGUAGUUAUGUACGUAGGUAUAUAAGUAUAUAUAUAUGUGUGCGUGUAUGUGUGUGUGUGCGUGCGUGUCUUUAUGUGUACUUGUGUCUGUGUAUGUAUAAAUGCAAUAUGUAUUCUAGUGUGUGUGUGUGUGUGUGUGUGUGUGUGUGUGUGUGUGUGUGUGUGUGUGUGUGUGUGUGUGUGCCGUGGACGCUGACACUAUGGCUUUUGAAAGCGAAACUCCAGCUGGGCAACCAAUCAGUAAGUGUGGCUGGUUAUCUUAGUAGCAGCUCGUCAUUGGCUAUCGCCUUCUAAAACUCCAUCUAUCGGCGUUGGUCGUGUGAAGGUUUAAGGUAAUGCGGGUGGAUGGUUUUGUAGUGUGGAAACAAGGAAGAUAUGCAAGUAAAUAAGGUGGGGGUGGUUGUGGGGUGAGAACGUCAGUAGGAAGGAGGAAAGAAAGAAGGAAAGAAGCAAAGGAACGACAAGGACGGAAAGAAACAGACACUGAAAGAGAAAGGAAGGAAAAAGAGGAGAAGAAAUAUAGAGGGAAAGGAAAAAGAAUUCGAAAUGAAUAAGGAAUGAGUGAAUGGUAUCUCGAUGCUGAUGUGUUUUGUGUGUUUUGUGUGUUUUGUGUGUUGUGUGUUUUGUGUGUGUUUGUGUGUGUGUGUGUGUGUGUGUUUUGUGUGUUUUGUGUGUUUUGUGUGUUUUGUGGUGGUGGAUUUUAUUUUUAAUCGUCAAAAGUUAGAAAGUGACACAUGUGCCGAGUGUAUGUAUGUAUGUAUAUAUAUAUAUGUAUGUAUGUAUGUAUAUAUAUAUAUAUAUAUAUAUAUAUAUAGAUAGAUAGAUAGAUAGAUAGAUAGAUAGAUAGAUAGAUAGAUAAAAUAAUUUAAUGCGGAGUAGUUUGGUGUGGAUAAAGAAACCAAAAAGAAAUGUUGGGACAAAGUGGACGCGAGACAGAGAAGCUGGAGAGAACUAAGAAGGAAGAGAGAAGAAGCUAAACCAUAAACAUUUAUCAAAAAUUACAAACAAAAAACAAAAUCCCGUUCAAAAUUGUGGUGGUGUUGUCGUUAAUCCUGGUUAGUGCUGGCAUUGAUAAUGUUGCUGUUGCUGUUAUUUGUGUCCGUUGUGGUAGUCUUAAUAUUGCUUAUUAAUGUUUGUUAAUUAAGUGGACACCACUGCUACCGCUGUUGGUACUAUUGUUGACGGUAUUUAGUACUCCUAUUAGUGUUAUUAAUAUUGCUAAGCGCUCAGGUGUUUUCGUUUGUGUUCUUUAUGGCUUGUAGUGUUAGUUGAUGGUGCUGUUAGUAACAUAAAUUAGUAUUACUGCUGUUGAAGAACGCUGGUCCUAUCAGUUAGUAAUAGUAACCUACAAUUGAUGGUGCUUCUGGUUGACGUUGGCCGGUGUUUGUUGCUUCUGUUGAUGGUGCUUUUAUAACUGUUUGCUACUACUACAUUUAAUAGCAUUAUUGGUUUAAUCCUUAUUGAUAGGAUUAUGAUUAGUGCUGCCGAUGAUCGCGUUGUCGUGUAGUGUUUAAUUAUGAUACUGCCAGUGUUGGUGGUGUUGGUGGUGGUGUUGGUGGUGGUUGUGUUCCUGUUAGUGCUGUUUUGUAAUACUUUUGUUAGCGGUGGUGUUAAUGCAGGUUAGUGCUGUCGCUGUUAGUGUUCGUUAGUGUUGUCAUUGGUGUUAGUGCUGUUUUAGUGGUGUUUACGCUGCUGCUGUUAGUGUUGGUUAGAAAUAAAAAUAGUGUCGGUUAGUGGUUUUGUUGCUGUUAUUGCUGUUGUUGUUGUUGGUGGUGGCGGUGGUUGUGACGGUUGUAGUAUUUUAGUGUAGUACUUGUAGUAUAGCUGGUUAGUGCUGUUGCUAUAAGAGCUUGUUAAUGUUGUUGUUGCUGAUGGUUGUAACACUAUUUCUGUUGUUGUUGCUGUUAUGGUUAGCGGUGGUGGUGAUUGGGGUGGGGGAGGGCGGCAUUAGUGCUCUUGUCGAUAUUGAUAUUAGUGCUGGUUAGUGUUUAUAUUACUGUCAUUACUGUUGUUCAAGUUGUUGUCGUUGGUGGUGGUGCCAUUAGUACUCUUGCCGUUGAUGCUGCUGCUGCUGUUGAGCGAACGGUCUUCGUCCCAGAGCUCGCAAGAUGGGACAAGUCCGAAUCUUGGUCCUUCGCUAUUCGUAAGACCCGCAGAAGAGAAAGCAGGUCAACCCCCGACACCGAGAGCAUCGACGGAUGGAUGAAUGCGCAUCCAGGCUGAGCGGUUGCGUAGGAAGUCGG